GAUGAACGCUGGCGGCGUGCCUAAUACAUGCAAGUCGAGCGAACGGACGAGAAGCUUGCUUCUCUGAUGUUAGCGGCGGACGGGUGAGUAACACGUGGAUAACCUACCUAUAAGACUGGGAUAACUUCGGGAAACCGGAGCUAAUACCGGAUGAUAUAUUGAACCGCAUGGUUCAAAAGUGAAAGACGGUCUUGCUGUCACUUAUAGAUGGAUCCGCGCUGCAUUAGCUAGUUGGUAAGGUAACGGCUUACCAAGGCAACGAUGCAUAGCCGACCUGAGAGGGUGAUCGGCCACACUGGAACUGAGACACGGUCCAGACUCCUACGGGAGGCAGCAGUAGGGAAUCUUCCGCAAUGGGCGAAAGCCUGACGGAGCAACGCCGCGUGAGUGAUGAGGGUCUUCGGAUCGUAAAACUCUGUUAUUAGGGAAGAACAUAUGUGUAAGUAACUGUGCACAUCUUGACGGUACCUAACCAGAAAGCCACGGCUAACUACGUG
This 497-nucleotide ribosomal RNA is filed under the name uncultured bacterium. RNAcentral describes it as "partial 16S ribosomal RNA". It matches the Rfam family "Bacterial small subunit ribosomal RNA", at positions 28 to 507 of the family's 1533-position model. The record is from RNAcentral.